GACGAACGCUGGCGGCGUGCUUAACACAUGCAAGUCGAACGGAAAGGCCCUGCUUGCAGGGCACUCGAGUGGCGAACGGGUGAGUAACACGUGGGUGAUCUGCCCUGCACUUCGGGAUAAGCUUGGGAAACUGGGUCUAAUACCGGAUAGGAGCCAUCUUUAGUGUGGUGGUUGGAAAGUUUUUUCGGUGUAGGAUGAGCUCGCGGCCUAUCAGCUUGUUGGUGGGGUAAUGGCCUACCAAGGCGGCGACGGGUAGCCGGCCUGAGAGGGUGUACGGCCACAUUGGGACUGAGAUACGGCCCAGACUCCUACGGGAGGCAGCAGUGGGGAAUAUUGCACAAUGGGCGCAAGCCUGAUGCAGCGACGCCGCGUGGGGGAUGAAGGCCUUCGGGUUGUAAACUCCUUUCGCUAGGGACGAAGCUUUUUGUGACGGUACCUAGAUAAGAAGCACCGGCUAACUACGUG
Molecule: ribosomal RNA, 465 nt
Filed under: uncultured bacterium
Lineage: Bacteria
Description: partial 16S ribosomal RNA
Rfam family: Bacterial small subunit ribosomal RNA
Source: RNAcentral